Siniperca chuatsi (mandarin fish) is the source of this 169-nucleotide long non-coding RNA. RefSeq lists it as uncharacterized. The record is from RefSeq and is a predicted model, not a curated record. The transcript has 2 exons. NCBI's taxonomy places the organism in Eukaryota, Metazoa, Chordata, Actinopteri, Centrarchiformes, Sinipercidae.
UGUAGCAAGCGCUUAACAUGUUUUUGUUGCAUCUGAUUUGAUCAUCCUUCUAAACCCUGUCGAAAGCGAUGGCUUUUUACUCGGUUCAGUGGCUGUUGAGAUUGCCUGUGUAAACCACACAAUGGAAUAUUAAAGGAGCAAGGCGCUCAUACCCUGGCUCUUGAACAGA